RNAcentral lists this ribosomal RNA (222 nucleotides) under uncultured bacterium. RNAcentral's name for it is "partial 16S ribosomal RNA". It matches the Rfam family "Bacterial small subunit ribosomal RNA", at positions 109 to 334 of the family's 1533-position model. The record is from RNAcentral.
AGUAAUAUAUCGGAACGUGCCCAGUCGUGGGGGAUAACGUAGAGAAAUUUACGCUAAUACCGCAUACGAUCCAAGGAUGAAAGCGGGGGACCGUAAGGCCUCGCGCGACUGGAGCGGCUGAUAUCAGAUUAGGUUGUUGGUGAGGUAAAAGCUCACCAAGCCGACGAUCUGUAGCUGGUUUGAGAGAACGACCAGCCACACUGGGACUGAGACACGGCCCAG